This 491-nucleotide ribosomal RNA is filed under the name uncultured Arthrobacter sp. Its description in RNAcentral is "bacterial SSU rRNA". It matches the Rfam family "Bacterial small subunit ribosomal RNA", at positions 38 to 524 of the family's 1533-position model. Lineage: Bacteria; Bacillati; Actinomycetota; Actinomycetes; Micrococcales; Micrococcaceae. The record is from RNAcentral.
ACCAUACCUUGAAAAUGAAAGGGGGGGGGCUUAAAAGCAGAUCGAACGAUGAUCUCCAGCUUGCUGGGGGGAUUAGUGGCGAACGGGUGAGUAACACGUGAGUAACCUGCCCUUGACUCUGGGAUAAGCCUGGGAAACUGGGUCUAAUACCGGAUAUGACCAUCUGGCGCAUGUCAUGGUGGUGGAAAGCUUUUGUGGUUUUGGAUGGACUCGCGGCCUAUCAGCUUGUUGGUGGGGUAAUGGCCUACCAAGGCGACGACGGGUAGCCGGCCUGAGAGGGUGACCGGCCACACUGGGACUGAGACACGGCCCAGACUCCUACGGGAGGCAGCAGUGGGGAAUAUUGCACAAUGGGCGAAAGCCUGAUGCAGCGACGCCGCGUGAGGGAUGACGGCCUUCGGGUUGUAAACCUCUUUCAGUAGGGAAGAAGCGAAAGUGACGGUACCUGCAGAAGAAGCGCCGGCUAACUACGUGCCAGCAGCCGCGGUAAU